AAGUAUAAUAUGACGUACAAUGAGGGGGUAACACUAACCAAUAUCCAUCCUUCCUCCUUCCUAAUACAGUGCUGAUCUGAUUCCGGAGCUCACAUCAUCCCAUAGACAGAAGUGGAUCCUGAUUGGUCUGAGCCAUGAGGGGAUAGCAUUCUCCUGGCUCUUAUUGGGUGAUGGUGAUCUUGCUGGUCCCAGAACCCACUUUGAGACCUUCUUCCCUUGCCGGAGAGAAGCAGACCCCUUGCUGAGCGUGGAGCCUCAAGCAGAGCUUGAUCUCCGGACCCUGAGAUCAUGACCUGAGCCGAAAUCAAGAGUUGUAAGCUUAACUGAUUGAGCUGUCCAGGUGCCCCCACAUUCUCUUUAUUAAGUUUGUAAUUUUAAUUCCAGUAUAAUUAACAUACAGUGUUGUAUUAGUUUCAGGUGUACACUAGAGUGAUUUAACAAUUCUGUAC
Molecule: long non-coding RNA, 449 nt
Filed under: Ursus maritimus (polar bear)
Lineage: Eukaryota; Metazoa; Chordata; Mammalia; Carnivora; Ursidae
Description: lncRNA (ENSUMAG00000022891.1)
Source: RNAcentral